GACACAUUCAAUGGUGUGACCGAUGGUGUGGCCCAGGGGCUGUUCUGAGACAUUUUAGGUGACUAAUAGCAACGUAUGCAACAGAAAGGUAGUUUUAAAAAAUAACUGAUUUGUAUUUACACAGACAGUUUAAUGACACGUUACUGCUAGUAUUAUUGCUGUGGAUCUCUGUUAUACACUCAGACACAUCAACAAUAUGGAGCUACUUGAAAAAAGGAAGAUAAGGAGAGAAAAAAGAGGAACAGAGAGAUGUGGGUCCAACUUUGGGACUGUUCCUCCUAAAUAGGGACACUUGGCAUAUAUUAUAUUGUAUUGUGAUUUUCUUCUACUCUUUCCUUUGUUAGACAAUCUAAAAAAUAUGUAAAUAAUGUAAUUCUUUAUUAAUAUUAAAACAACUUUUGCAUCA
Molecule: non-coding RNA, 406 nt
Organism: Pelobates cultripes (western spadefoot toad)
Lineage: Eukaryota; Metazoa; Chordata; Amphibia; Anura; Pelobatidae
Source: the annotation of a GenBank genome assembly